GUAGCUCAGUUGGUUAGAGCGUGUGGCUGUUAACCACGAGGUUGAAGGUUCAAGUCCUUCC
Ipomoea nil (Japanese morning glory) is the source of this 61-nucleotide transfer RNA. It matches the Rfam family "tRNA", at positions 7 to 64 of the family's 71-position model. Rfam says of the family: Transfer RNA (tRNA) molecules are approximately 80 nucleotides in length. The record is from Rfam. Lineage: Eukaryota; Viridiplantae; Streptophyta; Magnoliopsida; Solanales; Convolvulaceae.